CUGCAUGAGUUGUGUCGUGCUGUAAAUAUGGACAAAGAAUAAGUUUGAUGGUAUUUAGGUGAGCAUCGUGUGUCAUAGAUGCUCACAAAGAACCAUCACACAUAU
This is a small nucleolar RNA of Lolium rigidum, 105 nucleotides long. The record is from RefSeq and is a predicted model, not a curated record. NCBI's taxonomy places the organism in Eukaryota, Viridiplantae, Streptophyta, Magnoliopsida, Poales, Poaceae.